UGAACACUUUGAUUAUAUCGAUUAAGAGGUACAUAUAGACGCUGCAAUACAGGUACACAAGAUCAAAGAACAAGAAUAUAUUCUAAUCAGAGAGCAGAAAAGAUCAUAUCACGCACCACACACACCAACGUACAGAAAAGAUCAGAUCAGUCACCACUCCUAAAAACAACUCCCUGUCGACAGCGAUAGUCUGCACCAUGGCGGUCGAGUUCGCGAGGCUGCACUUCAAGCGCCUUCAGAAAUAACAAAUUUGUGAAGAGGCAAAGGAAGGAGGAGCCGCCGCCAGCAGGUGAGGCCGGGAGGCCGCCGCCGGCAAGCCACGAGCCACUGCUCCACUCCUUCUUAGCCGCUGCCCGCAGCAAGCAGUUAUAGUCGCUCAGAUGUGUCCGCGACGGGACGGCCGCUCCUCGUUCUUUGCCUGGAUGUGUGCGCGACGGGAUGGCCAGCUGUGAGGAAGAAAGACGAGCGGGAGGAGAGGCGACGGGGAGAUGAGGGGCAGCCGGCGCUGGGUCGGGGGAGUGGGCGGCGCUGAGAUUUGGAGGGUGCGUGCGAGUUGGGGAGGAGGAAGGGACGCAGGUUCCGCUCGUUCCACGUGGUCCGCUCGAAUCGGAGGUAUGGAUUGGUUCCGCAUAUACAAGGAAUAUUCGUUCGGUGGGAACGGGCUGAUUCCAUUCCAGCGAUGUACCAAACGCCGGAACGAGGCCGAGGUACGGGUCCAACCCAUGCCAUUCCACUUGAUGAUUGAAACCAAACGCCGG
RNAcentral lists this ribosomal RNA (758 nucleotides) under Triticum aestivum (bread wheat). RNAcentral's name for it is "partial small subunit ribosomal RNA". The record is from RNAcentral. Lineage: Eukaryota; Viridiplantae; Streptophyta; Magnoliopsida; Poales; Poaceae.